Molecule: long non-coding RNA, 585 nt
Filed under: Olea europaea subsp. europaea
Lineage: Eukaryota; Viridiplantae; Streptophyta; Magnoliopsida; Lamiales; Oleaceae
Source: RNAcentral
CUUUAUAUAUAUGUACACUCUCUCUUAAAAGAGAGGCUUUGGGAUUACUGUUCAUCCAUGUCAUAGGCCUUUUCACACUGUUCCUUAGCUUGUUCCAAUAAUGGUUCUUCUAUAGUUUCAAGCGAAACAUGCUCUCUUCUUUCGACCAUCAUAUGAAACCCUAACUUACUGUUAUAAAUCCGACGGAUCGAAUGAUAAUCCUAUUGGGAAGGGUUGAAUUGGAUUUUAUGGAAGCUUGAUUUGGUUGUUGUUGUUCUUUUAAGAUAAAUUUGGGAUUCAGUUUGAGUCUUAGGAAUAUGAAAUUUUGAAUUAGAAAUUGGGUUUCUAAUUUCUUCUGAGAAUCAUAGUUCAUGGGAUUAAAGAGGGGAAACAUAUUAUGCUUUGUGUUGUGCAAAGUGAAGUAUGAUUCUAUUUGAUUGACAAAAUAUAGGAAUAUUUUUGACACGGUGUGGCAAAGGGUUUCGUUGGAGACACAAUUGAAAAGAUCCCAAGGAGGACAAUUGCUAAAGAUAAAAGUAUUGAUGAUUAUGGGGAGAGAGUUUCUUCAUCAGACUGUCUUCAGGUACUAUUAAUCACAAAUAAUAA